Molecule: ribosomal RNA, 1499 nt
Filed under: uncultured bacterium
Lineage: Bacteria
Description: 16S ribosomal RNA
Rfam family: Bacterial small subunit ribosomal RNA
Source: RNAcentral
UAGAGUUUGAUCAUGGCUCAGGAUGAACGCUAGCGACAGGCUUAACACAUGCAAGUCGAGGGGCAGCGGGGAGGUAGCAAUACUUCCGCCGGCGACCGGCGCACGGGUGAGUAACACGUAUGGAACCUGCCCGUAGCAGGGGGAUAAACGGAAGAAAUUCCGUCUAAUACCGCGUAAUAACUCCGAGAGGCAUCUCAUGGAGUUUAAAGGGUAACACCGGCUACGGAUGGCCAUGCGGCGCAUUAGCUAGUUGGCGGGGUAACGGCCCACCAAGGCGACGAUGCGUAGGGGUUCUGAGAGGAAGGUCCCCCACACUGGUACUGAGACACGGACCAGACUCCUACGGGAGGCAGCAGUGAGGAAUAUUGGUCAAUGGGCGCGAGCCUGAACCAGCCAAGUCGCGUGAGGGAAGACGGUCCUAUGGAUUGUAAACCUCUUUUGUCGGGGAGCAAAAGACGCCACGUGUGGCGUUCCGAGAGUACCCGAAGAAAAAGCAUCGGCUAACUCCGUGCCAGCAGCCGCGGUAAUACGGAGGAUGCGAGCGUUAUCCGGAUUUAUUGGGUUUAAAGGGUGCGCAGGCGGAAGAUCAAGUCAGCGGUAAAAUUGAGAGGCUCAACCUCUUCGAGCCGUUGAAACUGGUUUUCUUGAGUGAGCGAGAAGUAUGCGGAAUGCGUGGUGUAGCGGUGAAAUGCAUAGAUAUCACGCAGAACUCCGAUUGCGAAGGCAGCAUACCGGCGCUCAACUGACGCUCAUGCACGAAAGUGUGGGUAUCGAACAGGAUUAGAUACCCUGGUAGUCCACACAGUAAACGAUGAAUACUAAUUGUUCGGGGAGAAUGAUCCCUGAGUGAUACAGCGAAAGCGUUAAGUAUUCCACCUGGGGAGUACGCCGGCAACGGUGAAACUCAAAGGAAUUGACGGGGGCCCGCACAAGCGGAGGAACAUGUGGUUUAAUUCGAUGAUACGCGAGGAACCUUACCCGGGCUCAAACGACACAGGAAUACUUUUGAAAGGAGGUAGCUCUACGGAGUCUGUGUCGAGGUGCUGCAUGGUUGUCGUCAGCUCGUGCCGUGAGGUGUCGGCUUAAGUGCCAUAACGAGCGCAACCCCCAUCGCCAGUUACCAGCAAGUCAAGUUGGGGACUCUGGCGAGACUGCCGGCGCAAGCUGUGAGGAAGGCGGGGAUGACGUCAAAUCAGCACGGCCCUUACGUCCGGGGCGACACACGUGUUACAAUGGCAGGUACAGAGAGAAGCAAUGCGGCGACGCAAAGCGGAACUUGAAAGCCUGUCUCAGUUCGGAUUGGAGUCUGCAACUCGACUCCAUGAAGCUGGAUUCGCUAGUAAUCGCGCAUCAGCCAUGGCGCGGUGAAUACGUUCUCGGGCCUUGUACACACCGCCCGUCAAGCCAUGGAAGCCGGGAGUGCCUGAAGUGUGCAACCGCAAGGAGCGCCCUAAGGUAAAACUGGUGACUGGGGCUAAGUCGUAAUCAAGGUAACCGUA